GUUCGGCUGAUGAGUCCUAAAUAGGACGUAACGCUUUUCCUGAAU
Schistosoma mansoni is the source of this 45-nucleotide non-coding RNA. NCBI's taxonomy places the organism in Eukaryota, Metazoa, Platyhelminthes, Trematoda, Strigeidida, Schistosomatidae. The record is from Rfam.